This is a non-coding RNA of Triticum aestivum (bread wheat), 110 nucleotides long. The record is from Rfam. Lineage: Eukaryota; Viridiplantae; Streptophyta; Magnoliopsida; Poales; Poaceae.
ACUCCCUCCGUCCGAAAAUACUUGUCAUUGAAAUGGAUGUAUCUAGAUGUAUUUUAGUUCUAGACACAUCCAUUUUGAUGACAAGUAAUUCCGGACGGAGGGAGUACUUG